CCCAGCGCUUAAGGUUUUGGUCGUUUCGGCCUAGACCGGUGUAGCGUAUAGAGGCGACUGUCCUUGGUCGAUGCCGAUAUAAGUUCCCCUUGACUGGGGUACCAUAGAAGGUGCAAGUCCUGUUCUGUCGGUGUUGGCUGUGGUUGGUUGUUUCUUGGAGUCGGGUUGCUUGGGAUCGCAGCUCAAAGUUGGUGGUAAACUUCAUCUAAGGCUAAAUACGGCCACGAAACCGAUAGCAAACAAGUACCGUGAGGGAAAGUUGCAAAGUACUUUGAAGAGAGAGUUCAAGAGGACGUGAAAUUGGUAAGAUCGAAACGGAUAGUGCCAACGUAUCUCACCAGUAUUCAGCGUUCAGUCGGCGCACAGCGUUGUGUUGUCGUUCUCGAUGAGACGAUGCAUGGUGUUGAGGUGCAGGCUGGGCGUGCAUUUGCUGGUUUGGUGCGCUGAGAGGUACGAUCUUUGGCAUUGGUGAAACGCGUUUAGAGGACCUUGUCUUCGGACUCGGAACCCUGGAUUGUUGUCUAACCUUAGCUGGUUGUGCUUAUCAUUACGUCCUGGCCUACGCUAUGGCGCGUUUUUCGGAAAUUACCUAGGUGAAACGCGUGCGUUUUUGCCUUCGUUGGUGACCGAUUGAGCGUGUCGUAGCUCAGAGACGUUGUCUCGGCGUAAAAGUUGGUCUACUAACCGACCCGUCUUGAAACACGGACCAAGGAGUUUAGCGUAUGUGCGAGUCAUUGGGUGUUAAACCUAAAGGCGUAAUGAAAGUAAAGGAACGAAAGUCCUGAUAUGCGAUCUUAGCGGUUUCGGCCGUUGUGAGCAGCAUAGCCCCGUCUCAAUUGCUUGCAAUGGGGCGGAGGUAGAGCAUAUGCGCUGAGACCCGAAAGAUGGUGAACUAUGCCUGUGCAGGAUGAAGCCAGAGGAAACUCUGGUGGAAGUCCGAAGCGGUUCUGACGUGCAAAUCGAUCGUCUG
Molecule: ribosomal RNA, 970 nt
Filed under: Macrolaimus sp. SAN-2005
Lineage: Eukaryota; Metazoa; Nematoda; Chromadorea; Rhabditida; Chambersiellidae
Description: eukaryotic LSU rRNA
Rfam family: Eukaryotic large subunit ribosomal RNA
Source: RNAcentral